GUAGGUGGCAAGCGUUGUCCGGAAUUAUUGGGCGUAAAGCGCGCGCAGGGCGGUCCUUUAAGUCUGAUGUGAAAGCCCACGGCUCAACCGUGGAGGGUCAUUGGAAACUGGGGGACUUGAGUACAGAAGAGGAAAGCGGAAUUCCAAGUGUAGCGGUGAAAUGCGUAGAGAUUUGGAGGAACACCAGUGGCGAAGGCGGCUUUCUGGUCUGUAACUGACGCUGAGGCGCGAAAGCGUGGGGAACAAACAGGAUUAGAUACCCUGGUAGUCCACGCCGUAAACGAUGAGUGCUAAGUGUUAGGGGGUUUCCGCCCCUUAGUGCUGCAGCUAACGCAUUAAGCACUCCGCCUGGGGAGUACGGCCGCAAAGGCUG
Molecule: ribosomal RNA, 373 nt
Filed under: uncultured organism
Description: partial 16S ribosomal RNA
Rfam family: Bacterial small subunit ribosomal RNA
Source: RNAcentral